GGAACUGGAAGGCAGGUGUUCUUCCUAGUUAGGUCCUUAGAUGUGCGCAGGGGAGGCGUCGACCCGCCCUAGACCUACUGGAAACUGCAUCUGGAGAAAGGCACUUGGCAAAGAGAGAGAGAGUCCGGAAGCCCCAGGUCUUUCAGUUAAAUAGUCCGAAAUAUUAAGGUGAUGGAGAAAGCUAGAGCUAGUUUCUACCGCAGAAUUGAAAUGGACCACGAAUCCUUUCUCAUCUUCUUAAAUCGUAUUUUCUCUUCCCAUUAUUACCUUUUGUCUCUGCUUCUCUUCCAGUCUCUCAUCCCAAGCCCUGCUGAGCAUAAAUAGCUAGGUUCCUAUUCUCCUGAUCUCUGCUGCUGAGCAACUUUCUAGAAGUUUGGGAGAAUUCUGGUUAUCCAAAUUCCUCCGCUUGGCAAUCCGACCUCAGCAAAUCUUCUUUCCUAGGAAGAGGCUUGAAUGGCACAACGUGAAAAAAGCGGGGUGUUUCGCAUUCUGUUUCAGCACAUACCCUACAGGGAGACAAGGAGAGGACUGAGCACUGGGAUCAAAUAGAUAUGUCUAAUCCAUCUUCCACAUGGCAACCCUUGAAGAUAUAGACAGCCUCAGUCUUAUUAAUUACCUAAGUAGAAGGUCAGCUUCUGUCCCAGAGGAGGAACACCUGGGAAAUGAGGAUGAAGGUUGCAUGUCUUUGCAAGAUACCUUCCUUCAAUAUGCAUCCAUAUGGAUUAUAUUGUACAUUUUGCAUAUGCAUAUGUAUGUAUAUGUAUAGACACACGUGUGCAUACGCAUGCAUUACAUAGCCCAGUUACAUAAGACACUCUUCAUUGGUGGUGACUGAUUACUCAGUGCUUCACAGCAAUGUAAGGGGUACAGUUGGUGAGAGAGAAGAGAGAUCGCAGUUCUCCUGGGUUCCAGUUCUUAGAGAGAAGACACCGGGUUUCCCAAUCUCUUUGGGAUGUAAGGGAUGACAGGCUGCUUUGUGUGGCUUUGCUUUUCUGAGUCACCAGUACUUAACAUGGUACUUGGUCCAUAGUGGGUGUUUCAGAAAUGUUUGUUGACUUGAUAACUGUCAGGAAGAGAACAUUUCCCAUUUCCAUUUUGCUAGGACUGUCCCUCCACUUGUAGCUUUAACUCCUGAAUCCGGCAGCAUGGUUUUGUUUUCCAGGACAUGAGGUCUGCAGAUGACAGCUUAGCCAUAGAAGGAUCUGUGAAGCUUCUGCUAUAGAAACAAGGAUAGGAGAGGUAUGUGCAGAUUUGGAUGGUGGGAAGUGACUAAAGGACUUAAACUUUUGACUUAGAUAUUUGACAGCAUCAGUGUUGAUCCUUCCCCAAACUUCUGUUUACAAACCUCAUUUCAGCAGAAUGCUAAGGGGAUUAAAGAGCAACCGCAGUAAUAACAGACAGAAGGUGAAGAUCUCCAUCUGAGUAUGAUGUCCUGUCACAUUCUUCCAGGGUCUUAAAACAGUUCCUUAGAGACUCACUUACUUUGUUCUUGGCAUACAUUUAGAGAUCCUCUGUCCUGCCUGCAGUUUGUCAGAGUCUGCCCCGUAGUCCCUGGGAUCAGUAACGGCUUUGUACUUUAGCAGCUUAGGUGAUGCAGUAGAAAGAGUGCUAGGGCUCGGGUCAGAAAGUCUCAUCUUCAUGAGUUCAAAUCCAGCCUCAAACAUUUACUAGCUGUGUGAGCCUGGGCAAAUCACUUAAUCCUUUAAUCAUUUGUAAAAGAAGUUGAAGGAAAUGGAAAGUCACUCCAGCAUCCAUGCCAAUAAAACCCCAAAUGGAGUCA
Monodelphis domestica (gray short-tailed opossum) is the source of this 1780-nucleotide long non-coding RNA. The record is from Ensembl. Lineage: Eukaryota; Metazoa; Chordata; Mammalia; Didelphimorphia; Didelphidae.